Molecule: RNA transcript, 2163 nt
Organism: Brassica oleracea var. oleracea
Lineage: Eukaryota; Viridiplantae; Streptophyta; Magnoliopsida; Brassicales; Brassicaceae
Gene name: TBC1 domain family member 15-like
Exons: 12
Source: RefSeq, a predicted model, not a curated record
AGAAGAAAAAUCUAAAGGAGGAGGGAGGAGGAUGGAUCAACGAAACGAUUCACCAGUCAAAAAAAAAAAAAUAUCAAUUGCAUCUCCAGAGACCACUCAAUUGAAAGGAGAAAGAUGAUUUGGUAGUACAUUGAGCAAUCCCAAAAAGAAAAGUUUGAUCCUCCAAAACUGGACCCCUCUUAAAAGAUCUCAAACUCCAAAGCAGUAGGACAAUUGAUCUUUUUGAGAGGGUUCCAGUUUCUUUAUUCUUCUUCAAUCUUGUUUCCUGGGUUUGUUUGUUUUUUGUUUUUUCCCGGGAAAGUUUUCAUAUUUAUUUUUAUUAUAAAUGUGGGGAGCGGCGGCAGAACCAGCAGAUUCUUAUUACCAGAUUCGCCCUGAGUGCACCGAUGUCCCCAAUACCAGAUUCAAGAUCAAACCUGGUAAAACUCUUAGUGUAAGGAAAUGGCAGGCUGCAUUUACACAGGAAGGGUUCCUCGAUAUUGGCAAGACUCUAAGUCGAAUCCAACGUGGGGGGAUCCAUCCAUCGAUUAGAGGAGAAGUGUGGGAGUUCUUACUUGGUUGUUAUGAUCCAAAGAGCACUUUUGAAGAAAGAGAGCAAAUCAGACAACGCAGAAGAUUGCAGUAUGCUUCUUGGAAGCAGGAAUGUAAACAAAUGUUUCCAGUCAUCGGAAGUGGUGGAUUCAUCACCGCACCUGUAAUUACUGAAAAGGGUCAACCCAUUCUUGAUCCUCUUGUACUACAAGAAACAAACUUAGGGGAGGAUUCUGAUUUCUUCAAAGAGCUUGAAAGCAGAGGACCUUUGGACAAGAAAGUUAUCCAAUGGAUGCUAACACUUCACCAGAUAGGUCUUGAUGUAAACCGCACUGAUAGGACAUUGGUGUUCUACGAGAAGAAGGAGAAUUUGUCUAAGCUUUGGGACAUUCUAGCUCUCUACGCUUGGAUAGACAAUGACGUUGGGUACUGCCAAGGAAUGAGUGAUCUUUGUUCUCCUAUGAUCAUGCUUCUUGAAGAUGAAGCUGAUGCUUUUUGGUGUUUUGAAAGAUUGAUGCGGAGAUUGAGAGGAAACUUCAGGAGCACGGGAAGAUCAGUUGGAGUUGAAGCACAGCUUACUCAUUUGUCUACAAUCACUCAGAUCAUCGACCCUAAACUUCACCAUCACUUAGAGAAUCUUGGUGGAGGUGACUAUCUCUUUGCGAUUCGAAUGAUAAUGGUUCAGUUCAGAAGAGAGUUCUCUUUCUGCGACUCCUUGUACCUUUGGGAGAUGAUGUGGGGAUUAGAGUAUGACCCGGAGAUGUAUUCACUGUACGAGGAGCCUGAGUUCGAGGGAGAGAGAACGGAAGGUUCAUCCAAAGGCAAACCCAAAUCGAUAAAACAAUGUGGGAAGUACGAGAGAGAGAACAUGAAGAACGGUGGAAAAAGCAACGCAGAAGGUCCUUUGCCUAUAUCGGUUUUCUUGGUGGCGAGUGUUUUGAAAGACAAGAGUUCUAAGCUUAUGACUGAAGCUCGAGGUCUUGAUGAUGUUGUUAAGGUAAUGCAGACAUACUUGAUGAUGUUGUUAAGAUCUUAAACGACAUAACCGGAAACUUGGAUGCUAAAAAGGCAUGUGCUGGUGCAAUGAAGCUACACAAGAAGUAUCUAAAAAAGCAGGCCAAGAAAUAGCACUGGAGAAGAGCCAUGAGUAGCGUUUUUUGUAUGUGUUUUUUUUUUACAUACUGUAUUUGAUAACUCGCAAAAUCUGGCGACGAAAAAAUUUCAGAGACUUGGGAGACAACUUCAAAAGAAAGAAAAAAAACAGAGUCCUACACGCAACAACUUUUCGUUGUACGGUGUUCAUACAAAUCCAUGUUGUAAUAUUUAAUUUUAACAAACUAUGAUUACCUCUUGGGUUCUAAACUACACGCAUACAAGUUUUCUACGAAACAGAACAUGCAUGCAAACAAGUACAGCAGACCAAAGCUAAGUGAGCUGCUUGUGCUAGGUAAAACCAAUAGAGGAUCGGAGAACAACGCACAUUAAACCGAAUAAACGUUUUUAUUGAGAAGAAACAAAGACACCAGAAAAGUUCAUAACAUAAAUAGUCACAAGUUUUUUAAAACACUCCCUUUAUUGCAACUCCUUCCACAUAAAGAAGUAUCAAGGGAAAUUUUCUUAGUUAAAAAAAAA